RNAcentral lists this ribosomal RNA (519 nucleotides) under Triticum aestivum (bread wheat). RNAcentral describes it as "partial small subunit ribosomal RNA". The record is from RNAcentral. Lineage: Eukaryota; Viridiplantae; Streptophyta; Magnoliopsida; Poales; Poaceae.
GCGGUUGAUUUGAUUCAGCUGAUAGGGUGGACGCCGCUGAUCGAGCUGAGGCAGAUCGCCGGGAAGGAGGGGGUGGGUGCCCGCAUCGUCGGCAAGAUCGAGGCCUACUAGCCCCUCUGCUCCGUCAAGGACCGCAGCGCUCUUACGAUGAUCGAGGAUGCUGAAGAGAAAGGGCUGAUUUCACCAGGUGUCACGACUCUAGUCGAGCCGACCAGUGGUAAUUUGGGCCUGGGAUUGGUUCUGAUUGCCCUAAGCAAAGGAUAUAGGUUCGUCGCGGUGAUGCCGGGCCAAUACUCGCUUGAUAAGCAGAUCUUGUUGAGAUACAUGGGUGCUGAGUUGUUCAUAACUGAUCCAACACUUGGGUUCCCAGGAAUAACCGACAAGGUCGAACAGCUCAAGAAAGAAUUACCAAACGUACACGUUCUUAAUCAGUUCUCGAAUCCAGCAAAUCCUGAUGCACACAUCAGAUGGACUGGUACUAGUUUUCCCAUUGUGAAGGAAGGACACGGCGGAAUGUAA